UACGUAGGGCGCAAGCGUUGUCCGGAAUUAUUGGGCGUAAAGGGCUCGUAGGCGGUCCAUCGCGUCGGGAGUGAAAAGCUGGGGCUUAACCCCAGUCCUGCUUUCGAUACGGGUGGACUAGAGGUAGGCAGGGGAGAAUGGAAUUCCUGGUGUAGCGGUGAAAUGCGCAGAUAUCAGGAGGAACACCGGUGGCGAAGGCGGUUCUCUGGGCCUUACCUGACGCUGAGGAGCGAAAGCAUGGGGAGCAAACAGG
Molecule: ribosomal RNA, 253 nt
Filed under: uncultured bacterium
Lineage: Bacteria
Description: partial 16S ribosomal RNA
Rfam family: Bacterial small subunit ribosomal RNA
Source: RNAcentral